UACGGAGGAUUCAAGCGUUAUCCGGAUUUAUUGGGUUUAAAGGGUGCGUAGGCGGUCGGAUAAGUUAGAGGUGAAAUCCCGAGGCUCAACUUCGGAAUUGCUUCUGAUACUGUUCGGCUAGAGAGUAGUUGCGGUAGGCGGAAUGUAUGGUGUAGCGGUGAAAUGCUUAGAGAUCAUACAGAACACCGAUUGCGAAGGCAGCUUACCAAGCUACUUCUGACGUUGAGGCACGAAAGCGUGGGGAGCAAACAGG
This 253-nucleotide ribosomal RNA is filed under the name uncultured bacterium. RNAcentral's name for it is "partial 16S ribosomal RNA". It matches the Rfam family "Bacterial small subunit ribosomal RNA", at positions 524 to 776 of the family's 1533-position model. The record is from RNAcentral.